UUAAAUAGUGUCAUUGGAGUGGAGAGAGUUAGCAGUUACAGGAACAUUGCCACCACCAAGGUGUGGUCAUACAGCCACUAUGGUUGAGAAACGGUUGCUUGUAUAUGGUGGCAGAGGAGGUGGAGGACCAAUCAUGGGUGAUUUAUGGGGUUUAAAGGGUCUCAUUGAAGAAGGUAUGGGUAAUGAUGUCUGGAUAAAAUGCUAUAUACAUAAAGUCUGUUACUUUUAUAGACCGAAUAAACCUUCUGAACGUGACUAAAUGACCAUUUUACCCUUACUUCCCGUAAAACUAUAUUGUCUUAAUACUAACGAAGUAUGUGUUUGAAUUGUUUGUGUAAGGAAGAUAACGAAGCGCCUGGAUGGACACAGUUAAAGCUGCCCGGGCAAGCUCCAGCUGCCCGAUGCGGGCAUACUGUCACCUCUGGAGGCCACUAUCUUCUCAUGUUUGGAGGCCAUGGAACCGGUGGUUGGUUGAGUCGCUAUGAUGUUU
This is a long non-coding RNA of Lactuca sativa (garden lettuce), 490 nucleotides long. RefSeq lists it as uncharacterized. The record is from RefSeq and is a predicted model, not a curated record. NCBI's taxonomy places the organism in Eukaryota, Viridiplantae, Streptophyta, Magnoliopsida, Asterales, Asteraceae.